RNAcentral lists this ribosomal RNA (502 nucleotides) under uncultured bacterium. RNAcentral describes it as "partial 16S ribosomal RNA". It matches the Rfam family "Bacterial small subunit ribosomal RNA", at positions 29 to 523 of the family's 1533-position model. The record is from RNAcentral.
AUUGAACGCUGGCGGCGUGCUUAACACAUGCAAGUCGAUCGGUAACAGGUGUAGCAAUACAUGCUGACGAGAGGCGGACGGGUGAGGAACGCUUGGGAAUCUGCCUAUCAGCGGGGGACAACCCGGGGAAACUCGGGCUAAUACCGCAUACGCUCUACGGAGGAAAGCCGGGGACCGCAAGGCCUGGCACUGAUAGAUGAGCCCAAGUCGGAUUAGCUAGUUGGCGGGGUAACGGCCCACCAAGGCGACGAUCCAUAGCUGGUCUGAGAGGACGAUCAGCCACAACGGAACGGAGACACGGUCCGGACUCCUACGGGAGGAAGCAGUGGGGAAUAUUGGACAAUGGGGGAAACCCUGAUCCAGCGACGCCGCGUGGGUGAAGAAGGCCUGCGGGUUGUAAAGCCCUUUCGGUAGGGAAGAAAUCUCUUGCUCUAACAAAGCAGGAGUUUGACUUAACCUACAUAAGAAGCACCGGCUAACUCUGUGCCAGCCGCCGCAGUAA